Molecule: long non-coding RNA, 546 nt
Organism: Triticum aestivum (bread wheat)
Lineage: Eukaryota; Viridiplantae; Streptophyta; Magnoliopsida; Poales; Poaceae
Exons: 2
Source: RefSeq, a predicted model, not a curated record
ACUCACUCCCUCUCCCUCGCUCGUUCUCUCGCUCUGUAUUCCGCCCGCCGCCGGCGUUGCCAUGCACCGCUCGGUCCCGCGGCCACCGCCGUCCCCGCGCCCCGCCAAUGUGUCCAGCAGCUCCGGCGUGGUCCUCUUCAUCGUCAUCGUCCCUGGGUCAAGGCUGAGGAGCCGCCGCAACGUCACCAUCGACCACCUCGUCCUCUACCUCCGGCCACCGCGACGCCAUCGACGGAUUCGUCAUCUUCACUGCACCCCCGGCCUCCUCGAGCUCGUCCCCGAAACCGUGAAGAUAGAGUCCAGGAGGCAGACGCCAUCGUCGACGACGACUCCUACUACACUGGAGGUGCCUACUACUACGUGCAGGCCAUUGACGAUGACCAAGAGUAAUUUAGGAGGAUCCCAGGCAGGAGGCCUGCGUCUCUUUCGAUCUGUAUUCCAGUUUGUGCUAGCCUUCUUAAGGCAAACUUGUUUAACUUAUGUCUGUACUCAGAUAUUGUUGCUUCCGCUGACUCGUCUAUGAUCGAGCUCUUGUAUUCGAGCCUU